Molecule: long non-coding RNA, 4935 nt
Filed under: Sus scrofa (pig)
Lineage: Eukaryota; Metazoa; Chordata; Mammalia; Artiodactyla; Suidae
Description: lncRNA (ENSSSCG00000054512.1)
Source: RNAcentral
UAUGUAUGUGUGUGUGUGUGUGUGUGUGUGGCUGGGUCAGUAUAAUAUAUAGCAGAAAUUAGCACAACACUGUAAAUCAACUAUACUUUAAUUUUUCAAAAAGUAAUUGAAAUGAUUCUCAAAAAAAAAAAAAACAGGAACAGACUCAUAGACAUAGAGAGCAGACACAGAGAACAGUGGUUUACCUGAGUCCUUUUAAAUUUUCUAGUAACCACAUUUAAAAAAAAAUUAUUAUCUCAUAUAUGCUCAAAAUAUUUUCAUUCCAAAAUGUAAUCAAUAUAAAAAUUCUUAACAUCGUCUACAUUCCUUUUACCAUUCUGAGGCUUUAAGUCCAGUAUGUAUUAUUUACUGGCAGCCCAGCUUAGUCUGACUAGUCACAUUUUAAAUGUUCAGUAGCCACACAUGGUGCAUGGCUACUGUAUGGGACAGUGCAGACCUAAAACAUGUAUAGACAAGUUAUUGAGAGACGUCAAAUAUGAAAAAAAAAAACUACUGCUGCUUAUUCUUCUAUAAAUGAUUAACAUAAUAGGGGAAGGGAGGAGAAAUUGAAUAUCUCAAUCUCCCAACAUUCUAUGUAUAGCAUCUCCUGUCUCCUCAAACAACCCAUGGAGGUAAAUGUCAUCAUAUUACAUUUACUGAAGUUGGAAUUAAACUCCGAAAAGAGUGGGUAAUUUGCCCAAACCACACGGAAGUAGUUCUACAUCCAGUACAUGAAUCUAGGAUAAUGUGCCUCCAAAUCCUGUGCUUUAUUAAAAUCUUCAAAUUUUCAAUGAGAGAGAAAAAAAACCUCAAACAGCCUAAUCAGAGGCGAUGUGAGCUUGGCAUCAACUAAAAUAUCUUUAUUCUCAUUUAUGUUUAAUGAGAGCACUAAAGCUUGAAACAUGCAGUGAUCUGAGCCAAGCCCCCCUAGGAGAUUACUUCAGAUUCACAACUCUUUAAAAUAUUCAUUGAAAUAGGAUUCCUUGGGCCAUUUUUUUCCCUCAACUAAUUAAAGUCUUAGAAAUGAGGUUUCUUUAUUUGUAAAAUAAGACUAUUCUCUGCCCUAACUUUAUAAAUUUUUUUUAAUGAGGAUCAAAAAAAGGAAGAUGGAAAAACAUUUAAUUUCAGCAGGUUGUCAGUUUGUUUUGUUUUGUUUCAUUACCAGGAGUUGUUUUGGCCUGAAUGUGUGUUCCUGGAUCAGAUAAUUAUUUGUUCAUAAGCUUUGAGAAUCUCAGUCCAGGGAAUCAUUCUGUGACUCAACAGUGGAGUGAAGGGGGGGGCAACUCUGAGAAGUCAAUAUCUUAUUUUGACCUUGGAGAUGCAGGCAGAAAGCUCUGAUAGUGAAGGAUAUUCCAGGAGGAAAUCCUGCAGCUAAUGAAACCUCUCUUCUCCUCAGGGCUCAUCGACAAACUGGUGGAGUCAUCGGCACUUCCAACAUCAUGUAAAACAAACAUCCACCCCAAGUACCCAGACAUUGAUUUGGGCCCACUUUUUGUUCUGGAGAGUCACAACCUGUCAAGGUAUGUUUAGAAAUCCUGGGCACUGGAGAAGUGUUCCUGGAAGUGGUUCUUGGUAGGGUCUACAGUCUUGUCUCAGGGAAAUCAAGCUGGAGGUUUCAGCUUCAAGCAUGUUUUCAGAGCAACUCUUCUUUUAAGUCCAGGAUAUAGAUUUGAAAUAAAUGAAUCUGGGACUAGAAAAAUAGAAGAACAUGCGGAGUGCAUACUCCAUGACCUUAGUGGUCAUCCAGUCCAAUCCCCUUUAGCAAGAAGUGAUAACUCAUCUCACUCUCUGCUGAUAACAGAUCCCUGCCUGGUACACAUCCCUCCCUCUGAGGCAACACAAGAUAGUGUUAGAGAGUGAAUCUAGAAGGCUGAGGUUGGCAAUACAUCUCCAGAGUUUAACAAGAAUAUGGAGACAUUCACUCAGAGAAGACACGUCAGUUCAUUCAACAAGUACUCAAUCACAAACAUCUACAUAGCUAUUUAUGUCAAUGAAUUCUGGCUCUGCUAGAAGAAACUAAGCUGUUAUUUUUUAAUUCAGGUUCAUGUUGGCUCAUUUACACAUGAACCACAGUCCAAAUGCUUCAUAAGUCACUUAAUAGAUUGCAUCUCCUAACCCAGACUUCUUAAAUGGAAAAAGGAAGAAUGUCUCAGUGUUGAUGUUCUUGAAACCUCAACUUCAAAUCAUCAUGCAAGAUUAUUACCACGUGUUUUAGAAGGGAGUCUUUUUUCACCAUCAGAGGUAUAAGAGUAAGGACAGAAAGGUAUCUCUCCUCAAGGGAAAAGAUGGAUCUGGAGAGUCAGAUGCUUUGGAAGAGGCUUUUCCCUCCUCCUAGAAGAAUCUAGAGUUUUAUAAAAACAAAAGAGUGUAACUUUGUCUGCUGCUGUCAGACUUUUCCCAGCUUUGGAAGAUUUACCUCCUUCCAAUUAGGAAACAACGUCUCCUGCCUACAUUUAAAAAAGCAAAACAAACAAAAUCCUUUACUGAAUUUUGUUUGUUUGUUUGUUUUACUUUUUAGGGCCUAACCUGUAGCAUAUGGAAGCUCCCAGGCUAGGGGUCCAAUCUGAGCCUCAGCUGCUGGCCACAGAUAUGGGCUGUGUCUGCAACCUACACCACAGUUCAUGGCAAUGCCAGAUCCUUAACCCACUGAGUAAUGCUGGGGAUCAAACUCACAUCCUCAUGGAUGCUAGUCGGGUGAGUAACCCACGAAGCCACAACAGAAAAUCCUGUAUUCUUGAAUCAGUUGCUUUUGACAUUGGCUCCACAAGCAAGGUAGACUUCUCCAAUGUUUGUGGACUCCUAUGCUCAUCACUAGACGUGUGACAUUUUGAUUUCUGUAAUCAUCCCCCAAAACUAGGGAAUUUGUCUCACUGAAGUUCAUGGAACAGCCCACCCCUCUACACAAGUGCCUUCUUUUGAGCCACAUCCAAUACACAAGCCGCCUCAUCACUGAUGAUGGAGGUCACCUCUCCAUGUCUUACAGCCACUCUUAUGAGACAUCCCUGGAACCUUAGGUUUCUGUAUAUGAUAGUUUCAAAGCUACCAUACAAGACAUUACUUAAAAUUAUUGAAACUCUGAGUCAGUUGUUUCACAUAAAAAAUUGUAUUGAUGAGUCCUAAACAUUUCCUUUCUUCCCAUUUUACUGUCAAUCUUUCUACUGCUUUCUUCAAACAUUUACUUCUUCAACAGGCAUUAAUGAAAGCUUCCAUAAGCUAGGUCCUGGGCUCAUAUUCUGGAAAAUUUAGAAUUCUCCUUGGAGUGACAUUCAAAGUCAAUCCUUCACCCAACUCCCCUAAAUUUCCCACCUACUCCCUCUUUCAUGUUUCCUACUACUUAAAUAUCCAAACAUUUGGAAGUAACUGCAAAUAACUAUUAUGACUUUAUCACCAUGACAUUUCUUCCGAUUUAUGACAGUAAGAGAAGGGAAGAUAAAGCCUAUUCUCCAAAUAAGAGAAGAAAUCUCUACGUAGAAGGGAAGGUACCAAAAGAACAGAGAAAAAGCAAAAAUCAAACCCUUCCCCUCUGGUUGUAACUGAGUGAACAUAUGGGAAAACCAUAGAGGAAAUGUGAAUUACCAUUCAUCAUUUAAUUCUUCAAUUAAACAUUUAUGAAGUGUCUGCUAGGUACUGGAGAUAAUCUAACCAUUGCUUCUAUGCCUCCUCUCAGGAUAUUUGCUGCCUUUGUGCACUGGCAUAGACUAAGUCAACUAAGGGGGCCCAUAGAAAAAUGAAUCAAAUGCCCAGUGGUAAGAUUAUAUACAUUAUCAUCAUGACUUGAAAAUAGUCCAUCAAAGCAUGAGAUCCAUGAUGGUAACACAAAGAAGGAAAGAUGAAGCAGAUACUAGGGCCUGUAUCUUUUAUCACAUGACCAUUCAAUAAAUACCUGUUGAAUAAAUGAAGGGAGAUGGAGACUGAGCAUCAAGAAGAAUUCUGAGCACUUCAGCAGAAGAAUAACUAGAAAAACUUACGAGAAAUGUUUCUUUUCAAUCACCACCCCUGUUCAUAUGAUGACAAAAAUUUCCAAAUGGCUUUCAUAGGAAUAACAGUAGUAAAAAAGAUCACAAAGUCAAAUGGAAUAAACCAUUCAUGCAAGAAUUUCCACAUUUCAAUAAAGAAAAAAUAUGCCACAAUAUUUCCUUUCAAUCCAGUUCUGGUUCUUCUAGUGCCUCAAAUUUGAUAGCAAUAAACUCUAACCAGAUGACUUUUUCCACAGAGAUUUUAUACACCACACACACACACACACACACACACACACACACACACACCCACACACAGAUAACCUUGAAUAUAAUGACCAGUAAUAAAUAUUGUCUCUUAUUUCAGUUUUAUUCUCUCUCCAUUCAGUACAUCAAGAAGAAAAUCAAAUUCAUCAGUCAUGAGAAACAGCACCUGUACUUCGACUUUGGUGAGUCCCCUCAGAGCCACAUUCCUUAUCAUCCAUUUCCUUGAGGCAAAUGUUUGUCAAGCCAGAAACCAUGACUAGAAUCCUCUCACAGAGAGACCAACCCCUGUCUUACUACGGCUAAGAAAGUAGCAUGUCUUAUUUCAGACUUGCUGGGAUGAAAAUCCAAAAAGGAAAACGGAAAAACUAAAAACAUUCUUAACGGCAUCUCAUCACUCUGGGUACCAGGCAGGGAAGGAGACGCUCUAAGAAGGAUGGGAGGCAGGAUGGAAUCAAGGGGUCUGGCACCUGGGACUGUCAUUUUGCAAAAACUUAACAUCUAUCAGGAAGAAGUGGAUAGGAGUUCCCACUGUGGCUCAGCAGGCUAAGAACCCAACUAGUAUCAAUGAGAUGAGGGUUAAAUCCCUGCCUCACUCAGUGAGUUAAGGAUCCAGCAUUGCCACAAGUUGUGCUAUAGGUCACAGAUGCAGCUUGGAUCUGGCAUUGCUGUGGCUGGAGUGUAGGCAGCUGCAGCUCCAAUUUGACCCCUGGCCUGGGAACUUCCAUAUGCCGCA